This 167-nucleotide microRNA precursor is filed under the name Podarcis lilfordi (Lilford's wall lizard). Lineage: Eukaryota; Metazoa; Chordata; Lepidosauria; Squamata; Lacertidae. The record is from RNAcentral.
AUUUAGCGAGCUGAGUGGGGAGGAGAGAGGGACAGAGAGCCUGCUUGCUUUAAAGGAACCAACCGGACAGGAGCCGCUUACAUUCGUGCAAGCGGCUCCUCUCCUCUCCCGCUUUGCUCCAAGCAGGCUCUCUGUCCCUCUCUCCUCCCCACUCAGCGGCUCUUCUC